GCGGAGGGCUGGAUGGCCGCGGGGGGCAACCUUCGAGGAAAGUCCGGACUCCACAAGAUAAGGGUGCCGGGUAACGCCCGGCCGGGGAAACCCGAGGGAAAGCGCCACAGAAAACAAACCGCCUUCGUGUCCCUCGCGGGAUACUGGGGUAAGGGUGAAACGGUGGGGUAAGAGCCCACCGCAGGACUGGCAACAGGACUGGCACGGCAAGCCCCACCCGGAGCAAUGCCGAAUAGGGAUCUCGCGCGGGGCCGGUCGGGCAACCGAUACCGCCGCAGGGCACGUCUUGGCCCAGAGAUCCGGGUUGGCAGCUGUAGGCGGGUUGGUAACAGCCCGCUCAGAGGAAUGGUCAUCCAGAGGGGGCAACCCCUUGGACAGAAUCCGGCUUACAGGCCCUCCGCGCAU
Molecule: RNase P RNA, 405 nt
Filed under: Thalassovita taeanensis
Lineage: Bacteria; Pseudomonadati; Pseudomonadota; Alphaproteobacteria; Rhodobacterales; Roseobacteraceae
Description: Phaeobacter sp. G4 Bacterial RNase P class A
Rfam family: Bacterial RNase P class A
About the family: Ribonuclease P (RNase P) is a ubiquitous endoribonuclease, found in archaea, bacteria and eukarya as well as chloroplasts and mitochondria. Its best characterised activity is the generation of mature 5'-ends of tRNAs by cleaving the 5'-leader elements of precursor-tRNAs. Cellular RNase Ps are ribonucleoproteins.
Source: Rfam by way of RNAcentral